AUUGAACGCUGGCGGCAGGCCUAACACAUGCAAGUCGAACGGAGCGGCGGACGGGUGAGUAAUGCCUAGGAAUCUGCAUGGUGGUGGGGGAUAACGUCGGGAAACGGGCGCUAAUACCGCAUACUAUCAGAUGAGGCUAGGGCGGAUUAGCUAGUUGGUGGGGUAAAGGGCUACCAAGGCGACGAUCCGUAACUGGUCUGAGAGGAUGCUAAGUCACACUGGAACGUAGACACGGUCCAGACUCCUACGGGAGACAGCAGUGGGGAGUAUUGGACAAUGGGCGCAAGCCUGAUCCAGCGAUGCGGCGUGUGUGAAGAAGGUCUUCGGAUUGUAAAGCACUUUAAGUUGGGAGGCGUUACCAACAGAAUAAGCACCGGCUAACUUCGUGCCAGCAGCCGCGGUAAUAC
RNAcentral lists this ribosomal RNA (407 nucleotides) under uncultured bacterium. RNAcentral's name for it is "partial 16S ribosomal RNA". It matches the Rfam family "Bacterial small subunit ribosomal RNA", at positions 30 to 526 of the family's 1533-position model. The record is from RNAcentral.